CCUACGGGUGGCAGCAGUGGGGAAUAUUGGGCAAUGGGCGCAAGCCUGACCCAGCAACGCCGCGUGAAGGAAGAAGGCUUUCGGGUUGUAAACCUCUUUUGACAGGGAAGAGCAGAAGACGGUACCUGCCGAAUAAGCCACGGCGAACUAAGUGCCAGCAGCCGCGGUAAUACGGAGGGAGCAAGCGUUGUCCGGAUUUGCUGGGUGUAAAGGGCGUGUAGCCGGGCUGACAAGUCAGGUGUGAAAUCCGGGGGCUCAACCCCCGAACUGCAUUUGAAACUGUUGGUCUUGAGUAGCAGAGAGGCAGGCGGAAUUCCUGGUGUAGCGGUGAAAUGCGUAGAUAUUAGGAGGAACACCAGUGGCGAAGGCGGCCUGCUGGACGACAACUGACGGUGAGGCGCGAAAGCGUGGGGAGCAAACAGGAUUAGAUACCCUUGUAGUC
Molecule: ribosomal RNA, 442 nt
Filed under: uncultured bacterium
Lineage: Bacteria
Description: partial 16S ribosomal RNA
Rfam family: Bacterial small subunit ribosomal RNA
Source: RNAcentral